Long non-coding RNA from Lolium perenne, 4190 nucleotides. RefSeq lists it as uncharacterized. The record is from RefSeq and is a predicted model, not a curated record. Lineage: Eukaryota; Viridiplantae; Streptophyta; Magnoliopsida; Poales; Poaceae.
AGGCCUCUGGGGCUAUCCACGAUACGCACCUGGCGCACGAGGGCUGGCGAGUGCGAGAGAGAAAGAAAAACGCGAAAGAAAAAGCUAGGCGAGCAACGAAAAAAAAGGUGAAGUGGAUUUGUCUCACGCUUCUUCUCCCCACACGCAAACUCCUCCAUCUCCCAGUCCCAGCGGCGGCGGCUCCCGACGCCCUCAUCUUCUUCCUCUCGUCCGCUCCGGCCGGUUCCUGGUCUCCUGCACCGUCACGGCUUCAUCUGCGUCGUCAUCCCGUGCUGGAAGCAGGCAGGAGCAACUCAACCGCGGAGGCUCGACGGCCAGAGCGACGGCGACCGGCGCGGCCCUAGAUUGCCAUACGGCCCUCCCAAUGUCCGGGAUGCGUCGCCCCUUGCUCUCGUCCCCAAGCCCCAACAGAUCGAAGGCCGAAGCGCCGCGCAUCACGGCGGCAGUUUGGACUGAGAGCUGCAGGCGAGGGGUAUUCGCUGCCCACUUCCAAUCGUGCCCCCUUUGCAACUUCUUUAUUCCUUGGGAUUGUACAAUGCACUCUGUCUUGAUGAAUUGGUCACUUGCCAAGGCUUCAGUUAUAAGAGAAGGAUUUUCCUUGGGAAUAAUGGAGCUAAUUCAGUGACAAGAAAGCAACUAUGAACUACAUCACAUACAUGUUCAGAAAACUAUUCCGAAUGGUUUGGUCAAAAUCAAGGAUCUGGAUCAUCUAGCUAUACUGAAAGGCUAUCUUUGUGAUAUUUUUUCCCUGUUGCUUUUGAAUCAUGGAGUGCUUCCUAGCAUGUUAACAACCCCUCAUCUAUCCAUGUUAUUUUCAAAGAUCCAAUAGUUGCAGUAACUCUAAUCUAUUUUUUUGUAUGCAUCAAAGUGAUGAAUCGGCUUGACAUCCAUCAUCUUUCAAGGUAUAUAAACAUGCAAAUCCAGUUUAUUAUAUCUCUCUCUUUGAGACGAAUCCUUAAAGUGACCAGGUUGUAUUGAUACUGGUAGUGUAAAUAUGAUGUCUAACUCUUCUCAGGAAAGUAAGCUGCACUUCAUGCGCUUUUGGAAGGGAGCAAUUUUUUAUCAGAAUUUUGGCACUAUAUCCUAAUCUGAAGUGGUGCUUAUGAGAAUUUGACUUGAAAAAUGCACUACCGCAUACCAGAUCAGAUAAAGAUGUCACAAGAUUGAAUUUGGAGGACAACCGUCAGCGAGCUUAAGGACGUUGCCUUAGUCGCUCCUUAUGUAUGUGUACAAUUUGGUCCCUUUAUGUGACUUUGUCGUCAUGUGUUGGGGCCCAAGACUUAUUUUUCGGUAUAGAGAAGCAAGUGCAACCCCCUUUACCCUAUCCCAGGGCUCUCCACGAUAGCCCGGUGGCGCGCUCGCGCUGGGCGAAAAUUGUACAGCCUCGCCCGGCUCGAUUGUACUGCAGUGUACUACGAGAAAGUGCGAUCACUGGAGCUGUACUGCAAGCGAGCCAGGGAAAAAUUGUUGAAGCCAUCCUCCUAUCCUCUCACCUUUGCUCUCUCCCUCCCAACCCCUAAUUUCUCUCCCCUCCCAAUCAUCCUGGCGGCGGCAGCAGAGGCGAGAGGGCAACAGAGUUGCGACGACCAGGUCAAGAACCCCAGUAGCCGCCUCCCCUCCCCUACCCCCUUUUCAUCGCCCCAACGCUCAUCAGGGAGCAGGACGACCUGUGCCUCCAGAUGUGCCGCUGCCGCGACAUGGAAGCCGGCCUACUGAUGCUGCUCUCCUCCCGUGUCGGGGACGACGAGCUACUGCUGCACACCGGUGAAUAGUGGCGAUCGAGUACUCCUUUAUGUCAGGCGAGGAUGGGAGGCGGCGGGUUCAGGAGGGCGCCUGGCAGGGAUGAUGUGGCGCCAUAUUUGUGGCGUAAGAGAAGGAGGGGGACCUAUCGGUUUAUGAGUGAUAGUCCACAUCGAACACGUAAGCCCUAACCAUUGCUCUUCGGGUUUCAUCUGUUCUUGUGGAGGUUGGUCGAGCUCCAAGACAGGGUCAGAGUUGGUCAAGAGAACCAAUGAUUUUGUGAAAAAUAAAUCCAUGCGACCUCUAUUAUAUGUGGCUACAGGGUGACCUCUAUUAUUUGUCGCUAUAGGGUGAGCUUAUAAUGUCUUAGAAUAUUUAAUUUUGACAUAUGUAUUCUACCAUAUUGCUAUGCGUGAAGCUUGCGAAUAUGUUGAAGAAAGUUGCAUGUCAAGGUAAAAGAAUACUAUAUCCGGGACUAGUGGCAGUAGAACUAUGUUCUGUUCCAUGCUUAUUGUCAUAGUUGUCAUAUGCUGAUAAUGCCGGCAUGUUGUGGUGUUCCUACUCUCAUGCUUAUCCUCAGAUUUUGAACUUAUUUGUUUGAAACACAUAUACCUCCUCAUGGUCUCAAUAAUAGUUGGAUUGUAACUGUAGUCCGUAACAGUCUUUUUGUCUUUCAUUUGGCUAGCUUCCCUGUUGAACUAGGAUGUCCAGUAUAUAAAUACAGAGAUGGACCUCUCAAGGCUGUAGAUGAAUAUUAGUUUUGCAAACCUUCUGUGAUGGUACUGUCAGGAUUCAGGAAGCAACUAUUUAUGUUUUCCCAGAGCCCUUUCAUUCUUCCCCAAAUUUAAACUAUAUUGAUAAUAUAAAUACCUACCCUCUUUAUAAGUAUCUGUGUGUGGUGUAAUUAUGUACAUCUAAUGUACCUACCCUCUUUAUAAGUAUCUGUGUAUGGUGUAAUUAUGUACAUCUAAUGUCGUGUUGAGUUUUCUGGUAUGUGCUUCUUGUAGGUUAUUGUCAUAGUGGGAGAAACUGGUUAUGGUUAAAUGGUGCAAAUACCUCAGUAUCUUCCUGGAGCUAGAUAUACAGCAAGAGGAAAGUAUACAUGCUCUGGUACAUAGUGAGAUGGCUAUGCUCUGCUCCUUUGCGGCAUUCGGCGGGAGUAGCACUGGCCACCGCAGCACAGCAACUUCGAGAAGAGGUGAGCCGCCUCUGAUCUACCUUGAGUAUAGGUGAGGAUUGGGAAUUCCGAUAACAUGUAAGCUAGAAGAGAAGUGUACUGCAUAUUUUUCAGAUGAAGUAGACCACAUGCCUAUACUGGUAAAUUGUUAGUAAUUGCUUCAAAAAUAUGUUAAAGUUAGUAAUUGCUCCUGGACCAUAGGUAUGAACACAUGCCAUUUGCAUUAAGUCAAGUGCCCCACUGAAGCCUUUUGGUAAAAAAAAAUCGUUUACUUCUGAAAUAUCUUUCAAAAUACGGAAUAUGUAUUGCUGGAAAUCUGUGAUAAAAUGGGUCAAGAUAGGGUGCAUGAAAGCUUUUGUUUCAGAAAACAGGGCACCAGGUCCAGGCUAGACAGGUGGUUAACCCUCUUUGUGAUAUCAUCCAUUUUAUUGCCAUUCAAGGACUUACAGCUUAGGCCUUCAAUCAGUUUGUGGUUUGCCUAACAUAUUUUUGUGCCUUCUGCUCACAACAAAUUGCUACGUCUUCUUUUGCAUAGGAAAAGUGGUAAUACUUCUGUGCAUAUAUAAGUCUGGUUUAUAGGUUGACAAUUAUAGUGAAUAAGAUGUAGGUGCAUAUUCUGUUAAAAUUCUAAAUUAGAAGCACAUGAUUUAUUGAUUGGAAUUUUCUAUCUAUGUUCUGGUGUGCUUAUCUCUGCAUUUGAAGGUAGCAAACUAUGUCUUUUCAAGAUAGUAAAAUUGAGGAAAACAAAUAUAGUUCUUCAAUAGAAAGAUAAUUGUUAAGACAACUAUGCAUGUGUUCUACUCUUGCAUUCUAAUUAGCAUUAAAGGCCUCGAGAAAGGCUGGCCCUGCAACCCAAUUCGCCCACCCUGCAGAAUCGAACCUGAAUCCGUUGUUUGCCUCCUCGCAAACUGCACAUUUGGGCUCAUCUGCUUGAUUGGUGGCAGCUGUCUUCCAAUCAGGUUUCUUUUCAGCUCUGCAAGGCCUGGAGCUCCAUCAUGCAGCUUGUUGUUGCUGAAAGCUCUAGACAGAUUCCGCGGGGACCUUUCGGUGUGGUCGGACGCUCAAAAAUGCUGAACCUAGGAAGACCACAUGGACGACUGAAUAUAAUGGCCAACUGGGUGCUGCUGAUCGAGUCUCUGGUGCUUUGUAUUCUUCUUUUCUUCAGUUUAUCGGUUUCGCUCCCAGCUUGGUUCGGUUUGUCUUCAAAUCCUGUAACUCUCCUCUAAUCUAUAAUCAAUGAAAAGCUGCGCUGACAGCCCUUUCGUCAAGAAAA